Molecule: transfer RNA, 83 nt
Filed under: Candidatus Woesearchaeota archaeon
Lineage: Archaea; Nanobdellati; Candidatus Woesearchaeota
Description: tRNA-Ser
Rfam family: tRNA
About the family: Transfer RNA (tRNA) molecules are approximately 80 nucleotides in length. Their secondary structure includes four short double-helical elements and three loops (D, anti-codon, and T loops).
Source: RNAcentral
GCCAGCGUGGCGGAACUCGGUUAACGCGCUCGUCUCGAAAACGGGUCCCUCUGGGAUUGCAGGUUCAAAUCCUGCCGCUGGCG